UUGACCUCGAAUCAGGUAGGAAUACCCGCUGAACUUAAGCAUAUCAAUAAGCGGAGGAAAAGAAACCAACCGGGAUUACCUCAGUAACGGCGAGUGAAGCGGUAACAGCUCAAAUUUGAAAUCUGGCUCCUACGGAGUCCGAGUUGUAAUUUGUAGAAGAUGCUUUGGGUUGUGGGUUCGGCCUAAGUUCCUUGGAACAGGACGUCAUAGAGGGUGAGAAUCCCGUAUGUGGCCGAGGCCUGCGCCUAUGUAAAGCUCUUUCAACGAGUCGAGUUGUUUGGGAAUGCAGCUCAAAAUGGGUGGUAAAUUUCAUCUAAAGCUAAAUAUGGGCCAGAGACCGAUAGCGCACAAGUAGAGUGAUCGAAAGAUGAAAAGCACUUUGGAAAGAGAGUUAAACAGUACGUGAAAUUGUUGAAAGGGAAGCGCUUGCGACCAGACUUGGGCGCUGCCGAUCACCCCGAGUUUUCUCGGGUGCACUCGACAGCGCACAGGCCAGCAUCGGUUCGGGUGGCUGGAUAAAGGCCGUAGGAACGUGGCUCCCUUCGGGGAGUGUUAUAGCCUACGGUGCCAUGCAGCCCAGCCGGACCGAGGACCGCGCCUUCGGGCUAGGAUGCUGGCGUAAUGGUUGUAAGCGACCCGUCUUGAAACACGGACCAAGG
This 659-nucleotide ribosomal RNA is filed under the name Erysiphe platani. RNAcentral's name for it is "partial large subunit ribosomal RNA". It matches the Rfam family "Eukaryotic large subunit ribosomal RNA", at positions 1 to 671 of the family's 3401-position model. The record is from RNAcentral. Lineage: Eukaryota; Fungi; Ascomycota; Leotiomycetes; Helotiales; Erysiphaceae.